RNAcentral lists this ribosomal RNA (231 nucleotides) under uncultured bacterium. RNAcentral describes it as "partial 16S ribosomal RNA". It matches the Rfam family "Bacterial small subunit ribosomal RNA", at positions 118 to 347 of the family's 1533-position model. The record is from RNAcentral.
UGGGCAACCUGCCCCUGACACUGGGAUAACCCCGGGAAACCGGAGCUAAUACCGGAUACUCUCGGCCGAUCACAUGGCUGGCCGAGGAAAGGUCCGCCGGUCAGGGAUGGGCCCGCGGCCUAUCAGCUUGUUGGCGAGGUAACGGCUCACCAAGGCGACGACGGGUAGCUGGUCUGAGAGGACGACCGGCCACACUGGGACUGAGAUACGGCCCAGACUCCUACGGGAGCA